UGGGUGAGGCCGGAUCCUGGGCUGUGUCCCGGCGCCCUGUGCCCUGGGGCCUGCGCUGUUGGAUUCGCGCUCCCGGCCCGCAGCGCCCU
Canis lupus familiaris (dog) is the source of this 89-nucleotide non-coding RNA. The record is from Rfam. NCBI's taxonomy places the organism in Eukaryota, Metazoa, Chordata, Mammalia, Carnivora, Canidae.